GACGAACGCUGGCGGCGUGCUUAACACAUGCAAGUCGAACGGAAAGGCCCUGCUUUUGUGGGGUGCUCGAGUGGCGAACGGGUGAGUAACACGUGAGUAACCUGCCCUUGACUUUGGGAUAACUUCAGGAAACUGGGGCUAAUACCGGAUAGGAGCUCCUGCUGCAUGGUGGGGGUUGGAAAGUUUCGGCGGUUGGGGAUGGACUCGCGGCUUAUCAGCUUGUUGGUGGGGUAGUGGCUUACCAAGGCUUUGACGGGUAGCCGGCCUGAGAGGGUGACCGGCACCAUUGGGACGGGAUACAGGCCAGAACUCCACCGGGAGCAAGAGGGGGGGAAAAUUCACAAUUGGGCGGAACCCGAUUGCACAACCGCGCCGGGGGGGAUGACGGCCUUCGGUUUUUAACCGGUUUUCGCCUGUACCGAAGUGUGAGUGACGGUACUGGGUAAAGAAGCACCGGCUAACUACGUG
RNAcentral lists this ribosomal RNA (468 nucleotides) under uncultured bacterium. Its description in RNAcentral is "partial 16S ribosomal RNA". It matches the Rfam family "Bacterial small subunit ribosomal RNA", at positions 28 to 507 of the family's 1533-position model. The record is from RNAcentral.